AUGGAUGAGGUCACAAGGGGUAUACAAGGAGAUAUCCCAUGGUGUAUGCUCUUUGCGGAUGAUGUGGUGCUAGUUGACGAUAGUCGGACGGGGGUAAAUAGGAAGUUAGAGUUAUGGAGACAAACCUUGGAAUCGAAAGGGUUUAGGCUUAGUAGAACUAAAACCGAGUACAUGAUGUGCGGUUUCAGUACUACUAGCUGUGAGGAGGAGGAGGUUAGCCUUGAUGGCCAGGUGGUACCUCGGAAGGACACCUUUCGGUAUUUGGGGUCAAUGUUGCAGGAGGAUGGGGGUAUUGAUGAAGAUGUGAACCAUCGAAUCAAAGCCGGAUGGAUGAAGUGGCGCCAAGCUUCUGGCAUUCUCUGUGACAAGAGAGUGCCACAAAAGCUAAAAGGCAAGUUCUACAGGACGGCGGUUCGACCCGCAAUGUUGUAUGGCGCGGAGUGUUGGCCGACUAAAAGGCGACAUGUUCAACAUUUAGGUGUGGCGGAGAUGCGUAUGUUGAGAUGGAUGUGUGGCCACACGAGGAAGGAUCGAGUCCGGAAUGAUGAUAUACGAGAUAGAGUUGGGGUAGCACCAAUUGAGGAGAAGCUUGUCCAACAUCGUUUGAGAUGGUUUGGGCAUAUUCAGCGCAGGCCUCCAGAAGCUCCAGUGCAUAGCGGACGGCUAAAGCGUGCGGAGAAUUUCAAGAGAGGGCGGGGUCGACCGAUUUUGACAUGGGAGGAGUCCGUUAAGAGAGACCUGAAGGAUUGGAGUAUCGACAAAGAGCUAGCUAUGGACAGGGGUGCGUGGAAGCUUGCUAUCCAUGUGCCAGAGCCAUGA
Molecule: ribosomal RNA, 819 nt
Filed under: Triticum aestivum (bread wheat)
Lineage: Eukaryota; Viridiplantae; Streptophyta; Magnoliopsida; Poales; Poaceae
Description: partial small subunit ribosomal RNA
Source: RNAcentral